GGGCCGGUAGAUCAGUUGGUAGAUCGUCGUCUUGGCAUGGCGAAGGCCGCGGGUUCAAAUCCCGCCCGGUCCA
This 73-nucleotide transfer RNA is filed under the name Methanobacteriota archaeon. Its description in RNAcentral is "tRNA-Ala". It matches the Rfam family "tRNA". Rfam says of the family: Transfer RNA (tRNA) molecules are approximately 80 nucleotides in length. Their secondary structure includes four short double-helical elements and three loops (D, anti-codon, and T loops). Lineage: Archaea; Methanobacteriati; Methanobacteriota. The record is from RNAcentral. RNAcentral also lists the same sequence under 2 other names.